This is a non-coding RNA of Brachypodium distachyon (stiff brome), 125 nucleotides long. The record is from Rfam. NCBI's taxonomy places the organism in Eukaryota, Viridiplantae, Streptophyta, Magnoliopsida, Poales, Poaceae.
UUAAUACUCCCUCCGUUCCAUAAUUCUUGUCGAAAUAUUACAUGCAUCUAGAUGCCUUUUAGUAAUAGAUACAUCCAUUUUUUGGCAAAUUUGAGACAAGAAUUAUAGAACGGAGAGAGUAGAAC